GAUGAACGCUGGCGGCGUGCCUAACACAUGCAAGUCGAGCGAGACGGUUAUGAAGGAUCCUUCGGGUGACUGAUUAACUAGACAGCGGCGGACGGGUGAGUAACGCGUGGAUAACCUGCCUUAUACUGGGGGAUAACGCUUUGAAAAGAACGCUAAUACCGCAUAAGCGCACAGUAUCGCAUGAUACAGUGUGAAAAACUCCGGUGGUAUAAGAUGGAUCCGCGUCAGAUUAGCUAGUUGGUGAGAUAAAAGCUCACCAAGGCGACGAUCUGUAGCCGACCUGAGAGGGUGAUCGGCCACAUUGGGACUGAGACACGGCCCAA
RNAcentral lists this ribosomal RNA (323 nucleotides) under uncultured bacterium. RNAcentral's name for it is "bacterial SSU rRNA". It matches the Rfam family "Bacterial small subunit ribosomal RNA", at positions 28 to 334 of the family's 1533-position model. The record is from RNAcentral.